This 932-nucleotide long non-coding RNA is filed under the name Anas zonorhyncha (Eastern spot-billed duck). RNAcentral's name for it is "lncRNA (ENSAZOG00000006783.1)". Lineage: Eukaryota; Metazoa; Chordata; Aves; Anseriformes; Anatidae. The record is from RNAcentral.
CAGGCAUGUUAGCAAGGCUAUGAGGGUGAACUGAAGUCCCUUAUUUAUUUAUUUUUUUACUUGGCUGGGCUGGUGAUACAAUGAAAGGCAUCACCUGCUAGUCAUAGUCUUCACCUGCAUUAUCCAUGAAACCCUUUCCAUCCAGCUCUGUACUUCAAGUGCCUGUGUAGGUGAACCACCAGGAAAGCAGCAUAAAACAUGGGGAGAAAUUUCACCUGGCUAUAUUUCUGAGUGAAAUAUUUAAUUCAGAGAGGCCAAUAGGAAAUUAACAAUCCAUUUAGAAUAAAGGCUGGCCAGAUAGCACUAAUGCUUUUGUCUCUUGUCCAGGGGUUUUCAUAUGCUCUUGAAACCAUUGAGCUCUCUUUUAUUGAAGGUCUAUGCUUUUUCCUGUAACUGUGCCCACAGGAAAUGUGCACGUUUAUGUCUGCAGAUCCCUUUUGCUUUAUGGCAGUCCUACAUGACCCCUCUCUCCCCUAGCACUUCGCACGCUGAGCUGAGAAACCUCCUUCGUCUUGUGAAGGUCUGCGUCCUUCCAGUAUCGCUCUGGCAGAAGAAAGCGAGGACAUCUUGGAGAGCCCUAGAGGGACUCACCAGGGGGUUGCUCCAUGUAUUUCUCAAUAAGAAGAUCAGUUCAAAAUAAAUAAAUAAAUAAAUAAUGCAUUGAAUGAAAGGAGCAUUAUUUGCAUUACUUUAAAAUUUUAUAAUACUUGGACCAAUAACUAGCUGUUGGUGAUUUCUGUAAUCAUUCAGGUAUCAUGAAAAUAAAAUCUGUGCAGUGUUUGCAUUUGUUAUAUAGUGAUAUUUUUAUCACUGGGUUUUAGUAAUGUGAGAAUUGAUAUCUUAAUUUAUAAUCACCAGAAACUCCCUCUAUAAAAAUAUAACCACAGACUGUGCUGUUGUUAUAAAUAGUUUAAUCUAUAUUUAUAUGAUAU